Molecule: ribosomal RNA, 1439 nt
Filed under: uncultured organism
Description: SSU rRNA
Rfam family: Bacterial small subunit ribosomal RNA
Source: RNAcentral
GCUAUCGACAGGCUUAACACAUGCAAGUCGAGGGGCAGCGGGGGUAGCGAUACCCGCCGGCGACCGGCACACGGGUGAGUAACGCGUAUGCAACUUGCCUAUCAGAGGGGGAUAACCCGGCGAAAGUCGGACUAAUACCGCAUGAAGCAGGGGCCCCGCAUGGGGAUAUUUGCUAAAGAUUCAUCGCUGAUAGAUAGGCAUGCGUUCCAUUAGGCAGUUGGCGGGGUAACGGCCCACCAAACCGACGAUGGAUAGGGGUUCUGAGAGGAAGGUCCCCCACAUUGGUACUGAGACACGGACCAAACUCCUACGGGAGGCAGCAGUGAGGAAUAUUGGUCAAUGGCCGAGAGGCUGAACCAGCCAAGUCGCGUGAGGGAUGAAGGUUCUAUGGAUCGUAAACCUCUUUUAUAAGGGAAUAAAGUGCGGGACGUGUCCCGUUUUGUAUGUACCUUAUGAAUAAGGAUCGGCUAACUCCGUGCCAGCAGCCGCGGUAAUACGGAGGAUCCGAGCGUUAUCCGGAUUUAUUGGGUUUAAAGGGUGCGUAGGCGGCCUUUUAAGUCAGCGGUGAAAGUCUGUGGCUCAACCAUAGAAUUGCCGUUGAAACUGGGGGGCUUGAGUAUGUUUGAGGCAGGCGGAAUGCGUGGUGUAGCGGUGAAAUGCAUAGAUAUCACGCAGAACCCCGAUUGCGAAGGCAGCCUGCCAAGCCAUUACUGACGCUGAUGCACGAAAGCGUGGGGAUCAAACAGGAUUAGAUACCCUGGUAGUCCACGCAGUAAACGAUGAUCACUAGCUGUUUGCGAUACACUGUAAGCGGCACAGCGAAAGCGUUAAGUGGUCCACCUGGGGAGUACGCCGGCAACGGUGAAACUCAAAGGAAUUGACGGGGGCCCGCACAAGCGGAGGAACAUGUGGUUUAAUUCGAUGAUACGCGAGGAACCUUACCCGGGUUUGAACGCAUUCGGACCGAGGUGGAAACACCUUUUCUAGCAAUAGCCGUUUGCGAGGUGCUGCAUGGUUGUCGUCAGCUCGUGCCGUGAGGUGUCGGCUUAAGUGCCAUAACGAGCGCAACCCUUGCCACUAGUUACUAACAGGUAAAGCUGAGGACUCUGGUGGGACUGCCAGCGUAAGCUGCGAGGAAGGCGGGGAUGACGUCAAAUCAGCACGGCCCUUACAUCCGGGGCGACACACGUGUUACAAUGGCGUGGACAAAGGGAGGCCACCUGGCGACAGGGAGCGAAUCCCCAAACCACGUCUCAGUUCGGAUCGGAGUCUGCAACCCGACUCCGUGAAGCUGGAUUCGCUAGUAAUCGCGCAUCAGCCAUGGCGCGGUGAAUACGUUCCCGGGCCUUGUACACACCGCCCGUCAAGCCAUGGGAGCCGGGGGUACCUGAAGUCCGUAACCGAAAGGAUCGGCCUAGGGUAAAACUGGUGACUGGGGC